AGUGAACGCUGGCGGUAGGCCUAACACAUGCAAGUCGAACGGCAGCACAGUAAGAGCUUGCUCUUACGGGUGGCGAGUGGCGGACGGGUGAGGAAUACAUCGGAAUCUACUUUUUCGUGGGGGAUAACGUAGGGAAACUUACGCUAAUACCGCAUACGACCUACGGGUGAAAGCAGGGGAUCUUCGGACCUUGCGCGAUUGAAUGAGCCGAUGUCGGAUUAGCUAGUUGGCGGGGUAAAGGCCCACCAAGGCGACGAUCCGUAGCUGGUCUGAGAUGAUGAUCAGCCAAACUGGAACUGAGACACGGUCCAGACUCCUACGGGAGGCAGCAGUGGGGAAUAUUGGACAAUGGGCGCAAGCCUGAUCCAGCCAUACCGCGUGGGUGAAGAAGGCCUUCGGGUUGUAAAGCCCUUUUGUUGGGAAAGAAAAGCAGCAGGUUAAUACCCCGCUGUUCUGACGGUACCCAAAGAAUAAGCACCGGCUAACUUCGUG
Molecule: ribosomal RNA, 492 nt
Filed under: uncultured bacterium
Lineage: Bacteria
Description: partial 16S ribosomal RNA
Rfam family: Bacterial small subunit ribosomal RNA
Source: RNAcentral